RNAcentral lists this ribosomal RNA (467 nucleotides) under uncultured Verrucomicrobiota bacterium. RNAcentral describes it as "bacterial SSU rRNA". It matches the Rfam family "Bacterial small subunit ribosomal RNA", at positions 38 to 485 of the family's 1533-position model. The record is from RNAcentral. Lineage: Bacteria; Pseudomonadati; Verrucomicrobiota.
GGCGGCGUGGAUAAGACAUGCAAGUCGAACGGGAUUAUUUCUGUAGCAAUACAGGAAUAAUUUAGUGGCGAACGGGUGCGUAACACGUGGGCAAUCUGCCGAGAAGUGGGGGAUAGCUCGCCGAAAGGCGAAUUAAUACCGCAUGUGAUCAGAGGCGACAUCGCUUCGAAAUCAAAGCCGGGGCAACCUGGCGCUUUUUGAGGAGCCCGCGGCCUAUCAGCUAGUUGGUGAGGUAACGGCUCACCAAGGCUUUGACGGGUAGCUGGUCUGAGAGGACGACCAGUCACACUGGAACUGAGACACGGUCCAGACACCUACGGGUGGCAGCAGUCGAGAAUUUUUCUCAAUGGGGGAAACCCUGAAGGAGCGACGCCGCGUGGAGGAUGAAGGCUUUCGGGUUGUAAACUCCUGUCAUUUGAGAACAAGUGGCCGAACGUAACUACUUCGGCCUUGAUAGUAUCAGAAGA